This 374-nucleotide ribosomal RNA is filed under the name uncultured organism. RNAcentral describes it as "partial 16S ribosomal RNA". It matches the Rfam family "Bacterial small subunit ribosomal RNA", at positions 527 to 896 of the family's 1533-position model. The record is from RNAcentral.
GUAGGUGGCAAGCGUUGUCCGGAAUUAUUGGGCGUAAAGCGCGCGCAGGCGGUUCUUUAAGUCUGACGUGAAAGCCCACGGCUCAACCGUGGAGGGUCAUUGGAAACUGGAGAACUUGAGUACAGAAGAGGAAAGCGGAAUUCCACGUGUAGCGGUGAAAUGCGUAGAGAUGUGGAGGAACACCAGUGGCGAAGGCGGCUUUCUGGUCUGUAACUGACGCUGAGGCGCGAAAGCGUGGGGAGCAAACAGGAUUAGAUACCCUGGUAGUCCACGCCGUAAACGAUGAGUGCUAAGUGUUAGGGGGGUUUUCCGCCCCCCUUAGUGCUGCAGCUAACGCAUUAAGCACUCCGCCUGGGAGUACGGCCGCAAGGCUG